RNAcentral lists this ribosomal RNA (408 nucleotides) under uncultured bacterium. Its description in RNAcentral is "bacterial SSU rRNA". It matches the Rfam family "Bacterial small subunit ribosomal RNA", at positions 976 to 1381 of the family's 1533-position model. The record is from RNAcentral.
UGGGUUUGACAUCCUUUGACACCCCUGGAAACAGGGCUUUCCCGACUUGUCGGGACAGAGUGACAGGUGCUGCAUGGCUGUCGUCAGCUCGUGUCGUGAGAUGUUGGGUUAAGUCCCGCAACGAGCGCAACCCUUGUCUUUAGUUGCCAGUAUUCAGUUAGGCACUCUAAAGAGACCGCCUCGGUUAACGGGGAGGAAGGUGGGGAUGACGUCAAGUCCUCAUGGCCUUUAUACCCAGGGCUACACACGUGCUACAAUGGUUAGGACAAUGAGAAGCGAUACCGCGAGGUGGAGCAAAUCUAUAAACCUAAUCUCAGUUCGGAUAGCAGUCUGCAACUCGACUGCUUGAAGCUGGAAUCACUAGUAAUCGUAAAUCAGCUAUGUUACGGUGAAUACGUUCCCGGGUCU